This is a long non-coding RNA of Peromyscus leucopus (white-footed mouse), 389 nucleotides long. RefSeq lists it as uncharacterized. The record is from RefSeq and is a predicted model, not a curated record. The transcript has 4 exons. Lineage: Eukaryota; Metazoa; Chordata; Mammalia; Rodentia; Cricetidae.
ACAGCAAAAGCAAACUAGUGGGAACUCACGAACUUUAGACCAACAGCUGUGGAGCCCUCAUGGGACUGGACGAGGCCCUCUGCAGAGAUUUUUCAGGUGAGAGUGUCUGAUCAGAAAGCCUGCCUUAUAUUCCAGAAACUGAGCUAAAAAGGUUCUAGUGUACCACAGAUGUGUCUCAAACUUCCUUUGUGGCCAGAGAUGGCCUUGGGCUCUUGCUCCCCCUGUGAGCACCUUUCUAAGGAUGGGAUCACAGCUCUGUGCCAUCAUGACCAGGUUCUCAAAAAUGUCAAGUUCAAGAGAAGACCAAUGAAAAGCUACAAAAGCCAUUAUUGGAUCAGUUAGUAAGAUUUGAUUAUAGACCAUGAAUUAAAUAAUGAUAUUAAAUCAAA